GAUGAACGCUGGCGGCGUGCCUAAUACAUGCAAGUCGAGCGAACGGACGAGAAGCUUGCUUCUCUGAUGUUAGCGGCGGACGGGUGAGUAACACGUGGAUAACCUACCUAUAAGACUGGGAUAACUUCGGGAAACCGUAGCUAAUACCGGAUAAUAUUUUGAACCGCAUGGUUCAAAAGUGAAAGACGGUCUUGCUGUCACUUAUAGAUGGAUCCGCGCUGCAUUAGCUAGUUGGUAAGGUAACGGCUUACCAAGGCAACGAUGCAUAGCCGACCUGAGAGGGUGAUCAGCCACACUGGAACGGAGACACGGUCCAGACUCCUACGGGAGGCAGCAGUAGGGAAUCUUGCGCAAUGGGCGAAAGCCUGACGGAGCAACGCCGCGUGAGUGAUGAAGGUCUUCGGAUCGUAAAACUCUGUUAUUAGGGAAGAACAUAUGUGUAAGUAACUGUGCAGAUCUUGACGGUACCUAAUCAGAAAGCAACGGCUAACUACGUG
RNAcentral lists this ribosomal RNA (497 nucleotides) under uncultured bacterium. RNAcentral describes it as "partial 16S ribosomal RNA". It matches the Rfam family "Bacterial small subunit ribosomal RNA", at positions 28 to 507 of the family's 1533-position model. The record is from RNAcentral.